Molecule: ribosomal RNA, 2070 nt
Filed under: Triticum aestivum (bread wheat)
Lineage: Eukaryota; Viridiplantae; Streptophyta; Magnoliopsida; Poales; Poaceae
Description: partial small subunit ribosomal RNA
Source: RNAcentral
AUGCGACGCAGCCUUGCUCUCUGUUACCACCUCACCGCCGCCCUCCUCCUCCUCGCGUUCCUCCACGCGCCGCUCGCCGGCGCGCAGCCGCUCCCGUGGCAGCUCUGCGACUCCGCCGCCGGGAACUACACGGAGGGCAGCGCCUACCAGGCCAACAUACGCGCCCUCGCCGGCGGCCUCCCCAGGAACGCCUCCGCGUCCCCGGCGCUCUUCGCCAAGGGCGCCGCCGGCGCCGCGCCGGACGCCGUCUACGCGCUCGCGCUCUGCCGCGGCGACACCAACGCCUCCUCCUGCGCGGCCUGCGUCGCCGCCGCCUUCCGGAACGCGCAGCAGCUCUGCGCCUUCAACCGGCACGCCACCAUGUUCGACGACCCCUGCAUCCUCCGCUACUCCGGCCAGGACUUCCUGGCCAACGUCACCGACAACAGCGGCAGGUUCGUCGCGUUCAACGGCAACAACGUCAGCGCGGGCGCGGCCGCGGCGGCGUUCGACGCCGCCUCCGGCCGGCUCGUCAACGCCACCGCCGACUAUGCCGCCGGGGACCCGACCCGGCGGUUCGGCACGGGGGAGGAGGGGUACGACGCGACGUACCCCAAGAUUUACUCGCUGGCGCAGUGCACGCCGGACAUGGAGGCGGCCGACUGCCGGAGCUGCCUCAGGGACAUAAUCGAGAAGUUUACCCCACAGUACUUCGUCGGGAAGCCGGGUGGGAGAGUGUUCGGCGUGCGAUGCAACUUCCGGUUCGAGACCUACUCCUUCUUCUCCGGACGCCCACUGCUGCAACUCCCGGACGUGCUGCCGCCUGCACCAGCGCCAGCGCCAGCGGCGGCCGAAGAAGAACGAACAAGAAAUAGGACAGGGUUGAUCUUGGCCAUCACACUACCUAUAGUUGCUGCACUACUUCUCAUUUCAACGUGCGUUUGCUUUUGGAGGAGGAGAAAAUCGGCAGAAAGAAAGCCGUCAGUACCACUACCAUAUUCAGCUACUAAUCCAGAUGACAUCCAAAGCAUCGAUUCCCUCCUCCUCGACCUAUCGACGCUGCGGGCUGCAACAGAUAACUUCGCUGAGAGCAACAAGCUUGGCGAAGGAGGGUUCGGUGCGGUUUACAAGGGUGUCCUUUCUGAAGGUGAAGAGAUAGCCGUGAAGAGGCUGUCACAGAGCUCCACGCAAGGGAUAGAAGAGCUGAAAACAGAGCUGGUUCUGGUCGCUAAGCUUCAGCACAAGAACCUUGUCAGGCUCCUUGGCGUUUGCCUGGAAGGACAGGAGAAGCUGCUCGUGUACGAGUACAUGCCGAACCGGAGCCUCGACACCGUUCUAUUCGAUGCAGAGAAAAGCAGGGGCCUGGACUGGGGGAAGAGGCUCAAGAUCGUGAACGGGGUUGCCCGGGGCCUGCAGUACCUCCACGAGGACUCCCAGCUGAGGAUCGUCCACCGGGACCUCAAGGCCAGCAAUGUGCUCCUGGACUCGGACUGCAACCCCAAGAUCUCGGACUUCGGCCUGGCAAAGCUGUUCGGCUGGGAUCAGUCGCAGGCCGUCACCAGCCACAUCGCCGGAACAUACGGAUACAUGGCGCCGGAGUACGCGAUGCGCGGGCAGUAUUCCGUCAAGUCGGACGCCUUCAGCUUCGGCGUUCUGCUACUGGAGAUCGUCACGGGGAGGAAGAACAGCAGCUUCGCUAGCCCGGACUCGGAGCCAUCCCUUGACCUCUUAAGCCUCGUAUGGGAGCACUGGACUACCGGGACAGUCGAGGAGCUGGUGGAUCCGUCCCUGGGAGGCCGUUCGCCGGGAGGCCAGAUGCUGAAGCUGGUCAACAUCGGGUUGCUGUGCGUCCAGGACAGCCCCGCGGACCGGCCCACGAUGUCGGCGGUGAACGUCAUGCUCAGCAGCAGCACGGUGUCUCUGCAGGCGCCGUCGAGGCCGACGUUCUGCGUCGACGACAUGGAGGGUUUCUCGGGCAUGUACUCGGGUGCGUAUCCAAGGGGAUCCCAGUCCACCGGGGACAGCAAGCCCCAGGCAGCGAUGUCGCCGUCGCCGAACGAGGUGUCACUCACGGAGAUCGAACCAAGAUGA